RNAcentral lists this non-coding RNA (883 nucleotides) under Corythoichthys amplexus (brown-banded pipefish). Its description in RNAcentral is "partial 12S ribosomal RNA". It matches the Rfam family "Bacterial small subunit ribosomal RNA", at positions 307 to 1533 of the family's 1533-position model. Lineage: Eukaryota; Metazoa; Chordata; Actinopteri; Syngnathiformes; Syngnathidae. The record is from RNAcentral.
ACCCCUGUGAGGAUGCCCUUAAAACUCUUUUGAGAUCAAGGAGCAGGUAUCAGGCACACCACAUGUAGCCCACAACACCUUGCUUAGCCACACCCCCAAGGGAAUUCAGCAGUGAUUAACAUUAAGCCAUAAGUGCAAACUUGACUCAGUUAAAGCUAAUCAGGGUCGGUAAAAUUCGUGCCAGCCACCGCGGUUAUACGAAAGACCCAAGCUGACAGAGAUCGGCGUAAAGAGUGGUUAGGAAAACAACACACUAAAGCUGAACAUCUUCUUAGCUGUUCAACGCAUUUGAAGAUAAGAAUCACUAUCACGAAAGUAGCUUUAAAUCCCUGACUCCACGAAAGCUAUGAAACAAACUGGGAUUAGAUACCCCACUAUGCCUAGCCGUAAAAAUUGAUAUUUUAGUACACUCAUUAUCCGCCUGGGUACUAUAAGCAUUAAGCUCAAAACCCAAAGGACCUGGCGGUGCUUUAAAACCCCCUAGAGGAGCCUGUUCUAUAACUGAUAAUCCCCACUUAACCUCACCCCUCCUUGCCAAUUCCGCCUAUAUACCGCCGUCGUCAGCUUACACUGUGAAAGACCAAUAGUGAGCAAAAUUGGUAAAACCCUAAACGUCAGGUCGAGGUGUAGUAUAUGGAGGGGGAAGAAAUAGGCUACAUUCGUUAACUAACGUAUCACGAACUACAUGCUGAAAAUGCAUAUACGAAGGAGGAUUUAGCAGUAAGAAGAAGGUAGAGUACUCUCCUGAAAUUGGCUCUAAAGCACGCACACACCGCCCGUCACUCUCCCCUAGCAUAAAACCACACUAAAUAAACAACCAAAAAGCUGUAGAGGAGGCAAGUCGUAACAUGGUAAGUGUACCGGAAGGUGCACUUGGAAAAAU